AGUGAACGCUGGCGGUAGGCCUAACACAUGCAAGUCGAACGGCAGCACAGUAAGAGCUUGCUCUUACGGGUGGCGAGUGGCGGACGGGUGAGGAAUACAUCGGAAUCUACUUUUUCGUGGGGGAUAACGUAGGGAAACUUACGCUAAUACCGCAUACGACCUACGGUUGAAAGCAGGGGAUCUUCGGACCUUGCGCGAUUGAAUGAGCCGAUGUCGGAUUAGCUAGUUGGCGGGGUAAAGGCCCACCCAGGCGACGAUCCGUAGCUGGUCUGAGAGGAUGAUCAGCCGCACUGGAACUGAGACACGGUCCAGACUCCUAAGGGAGGGAGCAGUGGGGAAUAUUAGACAAUGGGCGCAAGCCUGAUCCAGCCAGAGCGAGUGGGUGAAGAAGGCCUUCGGGUUGUAAAGCCCUUUUGUUGGGAAAGAAAAGCAGCAGGUUAAUACCCCGCUGUUCUGACGGUACCCAAAGAAUAAGCACCGGCUAACUUCGUG
This 492-nucleotide ribosomal RNA is filed under the name uncultured bacterium. RNAcentral describes it as "partial 16S ribosomal RNA". It matches the Rfam family "Bacterial small subunit ribosomal RNA", at positions 29 to 507 of the family's 1533-position model. The record is from RNAcentral.